GAUGAACGCUGGCGGUGUGCCUAAUACAUGCAAGUCGAGCGAACAGACGAGGAGCUUACUCCUCUGACGUUAGCGGCGGACGGGUGAGUAACACGUGGAUAACCUACCUAUAAUACUGGGAUAACUUCGGGAAACCGGAGCUAAUACCGGAUAACAUGUUGAACCGCAUGGUUCAACAGUGAAAGACGGUCUUGCUGUCACUUAUAGAUGGAUCCGCGUCGCAUUAGCUAGUUGGUAAGGUAACGGCUUACCAAGGCAACGAUGCGUAGCCGACCUGAGAGGGUGAUCGGCCACACUGGAACUGAGACACGGUCCAGACUCCUACGGGAGGCAGCAGUAGGGAAUCUUCCGCAAUGGGCGAAAGCCUGACGGAGCAACGCCGCGUGAGUGAAGAAGGUCUUCGGAUCGUAAAACUCUGUUAUUAGGGAAGAACAAAUGUGUAAGUAACUAUGCACGUCUUGACGGUACCUAAUCAGAAAGCCACGGCUAACUACGUG
Molecule: ribosomal RNA, 497 nt
Filed under: uncultured bacterium
Lineage: Bacteria
Description: partial 16S ribosomal RNA
Rfam family: Bacterial small subunit ribosomal RNA
Source: RNAcentral